UACGUAGGUGACAAGCGUUGUCCGGAUUUACUGGGCGUAAAGAGCGCGCAGGCGGUCGAUCAAGUCGAGUGUGAAAGCCCCCGGCUCAACUGGGGAGGGUCAUUCGAUACUGAUCGACUCGAAGGCAGGAGAGGGUAGUGGAAUUCCCGGUGUAGUGGUGAAAUGCGUAGAUAUCGGGAGGAACACCAGUGGCGAAGGCGGUUGCCUGGGGCUUUGCUGACGCUGAUGCGCGAAAGCGUGGGGAGCGAUCCGG
This 253-nucleotide ribosomal RNA is filed under the name uncultured bacterium. Its description in RNAcentral is "partial 16S ribosomal RNA". It matches the Rfam family "Bacterial small subunit ribosomal RNA", at positions 524 to 776 of the family's 1533-position model. The record is from RNAcentral.